AGCCCCGCAGUAUAUAGAUACACGGGAUUGCAAAUCCUGAGAAGGAGAAAAAAAGGCUUCUCCCGGGGCUU
This 71-nucleotide transfer RNA is filed under the name Gymnura altavela (spiny butterfly ray). Its description in RNAcentral is "tRNA-Cys". The record is from RNAcentral. Lineage: Eukaryota; Metazoa; Chordata; Chondrichthyes; Myliobatiformes; Gymnuridae.